Molecule: ribosomal RNA, 292 nt
Filed under: uncultured bacterium
Lineage: Bacteria
Description: partial 16S ribosomal RNA
Source: RNAcentral
GGACUACUGGGGUUUCUAAUCCCGUUCGCUCCCCUAGCUUUCGCACCUGAGCGUCAGUGACUUGCCAGGACGCUGCCUUCGCCUUUGGUGUUCUUCCAGAUCUCUACGCAUUUCACCGCUCCACCUGGAAUUCCGCGUCCCUCUCAAGCCCUCAAGUGCAGCAGUUUCCCGAGGCCUGUGGUAGUUAAGCCACCACCUGUCACUCUGAACUUACUGCACCGCCUGCGUGCGCUUUACGCCCAAUAAAUCCGGACAACGCUUGCCCCCUACGUAUUACCGCGGCUGCUGGCAC